This 352-nucleotide unclassified non-coding RNA is filed under the name soil metagenome. RNAcentral describes it as "partial contains 5.8S ribosomal RNA, internal transcribed spacer 2, and large subunit ribosomal RNA". The stretch from base 1 to 120 matches the Rfam family "5.8S ribosomal RNA", at positions 35 to 154 of the family's 154-position model. The record is from RNAcentral.
GAUGAAGAACGUAGCGAAAUGCGAUAAGUAAUGUGAAUUGCAGAAUUCAGUGAAUCAUCGAAUCUUUGAACGCACAUUGCGCCCGCCAGUAUUCUGGCGGGCAUGCCUGUUCGAGCGUCAUUACAACCCUCAGGCCCCCGGGCCUGGCGUUGGGGAUCGGCGGAGCCCCCCGUGGGCACACGCCGUCCCCCAAAUGCAGUGGCGGUCCCGCCGCAGCUUCCAUCGCGUAGUAGCUAACACCUCGCGGCUGGAGAGCGGCGCGGCCACGCCGUAAAACACCCAACUCUUCUGAAGUUGACCUCGAAUCAAGUAGGAAUACCCGCUGCACUUAAGCAUAUCAAUAAGCGGAGGA